AAACAUCCCCUUAUGUUUUGAUUCUUUGGCAAUUUUGGACCCACAAGACAAAAAAUAAAUAAAAAUUUGACAUGUGGCACCUCACUUAGGGUGCCACGUCAACGUUGACCGAGUCAACAAUGGACUGGGGGUCCAAUACUGCCAAAGAAUCAAAACAGAGGAGACUGUUU
This 170-nucleotide microRNA precursor is filed under the name Medicago truncatula (barrel medic). Its description in RNAcentral is "MIR2619 microRNA precursor family". It matches the Rfam family "MIR2619 microRNA precursor family". The record is from Rfam by way of RNAcentral. Lineage: Eukaryota; Viridiplantae; Streptophyta; Magnoliopsida; Fabales; Fabaceae.